This 494-nucleotide ribosomal RNA is filed under the name uncultured bacterium. RNAcentral's name for it is "partial 16S ribosomal RNA". It matches the Rfam family "Bacterial small subunit ribosomal RNA", at positions 28 to 507 of the family's 1533-position model. The record is from RNAcentral.
GACGAACGCUGGCGGCGUGCUUAACACAUGCAAGUCGAACGGUGAAGCGCCUUCCUUUUUGGUGGGUGUGGAUGAGUGGCGAACGGGUGAGUAACACGUGAGUAACCUGCCCCCUUCUUCUGGAUAACCGCAUGAAAGUGUGGCUAAUACGGGAUAUUCUGGGUCUGUCGCAUGAUGGGUCUGGGAAAGAUAUUGUUUCGGUGGGGGAUGGGCUCGCGGCCUAUCAGCUUGUUGGUGGGGUGAUGGCCUACCAAGGCGGUGACGGGUAGCCGGCCUGAGAGGGUGGAGGGUCACAGUGGGGCUAAGGCACGGCCGGGACGCCUGCGGGAGGCAGCGGUGGGGAGUAUUGCACAAGGGGCGCAGGCCUGAUGCCGCGUCGCCGCGGGGGGGAUGGCGGCCUUCGGGUUGUGAACCUCUUUCGCCAGUGAAGCAGGCCUGCCUCGUUUGUGGGUGGGUUGACGGUAGCUGGAUAAGAAGCGCCGGCUAACUACGUG